Molecule: ribosomal RNA, 253 nt
Filed under: uncultured bacterium
Lineage: Bacteria
Description: partial 16S ribosomal RNA
Rfam family: Bacterial small subunit ribosomal RNA
Source: RNAcentral
UACGUAGGGUGCGAGCGUUAAUCGGAAUUACUGGGCGUAAAGUGUGCGCAGGUGGCCGCGCAAGUCGAGUGUGAAAUCCCCGAGCUUAACUUGGGAAUUGCGCUCGAAACUACGUGGCUCGAGUGUGGCAGAGGAAGGUGGAAUUCCACGUGUAGCGGUGAAAUGCGUAGAUAUGCGGAGGAACACCAGUGGCGAAGGCGGCCACCUGGACCGUCCCUGACGCUCAAACACGAAAGUUAGGGUAGCGAACGGG